RNAcentral lists this long non-coding RNA (2581 nucleotides) under Chlamydomonas reinhardtii. RNAcentral describes it as "long non-coding RNA (CREI_LNC000969)". Lineage: Eukaryota; Viridiplantae; Chlorophyta; Chlorophyceae; Chlamydomonadales; Chlamydomonadaceae. The record is from RNAcentral.
CCUCAUCUCGUUUAGGUCUUUUGGCGGCAGCACCAACGCACAACAAAGCGCGACAGGCCAGAGGUCUGCCGACAUCCCCAUCAAACGCAAGCACCACACAUUUUCUCGACGGCGUCACAGACGCGCAAUGUCUUGGCCCGGAGGCCCAUGUCCUGAAACGUCGGUGCCGAGGCACCACAAAGGGAAACCGAGCCGGAAACUGACCAAACCACCAGUACACCACAACACCUCGCCACGGGCACACCGCCCUCCACCCGCCCCACCAGCGAACUAGACCGACCCGACAAACAGGCACGCGUGCGCCCGGAGGCGAACAGGCGCACCAGCCGCCCGGGCGCCCGGGCAACAGCCGCCCAGGCUAUAUGAGCGUAUCAUAGUGGAAAUCCCUGCAUUGUGUUCUAAUAACGCGUAUUUGGAAGAGAGGGGAGCGUACUGGGUACCCCUGAUGGGGGUAGACGUGGGGCCAUAUGGCUCGCCUGCAUCACCUGUCUACCAAUUUGCAGUUAGUCCCCUUCCUGAUGCUGCAGGACUCAGCCCUUUUUCAGCUAUACAAAGCUGACACCCCUUGUCACCCCUAUGUUGGAGAAUACGUUGUGCAGGGGGGGAAACAGCAGGGGAUGCGGGACGACAUGGGGGGCCGUGCCUGCUGUGGGAUGCCGUGCCUUGCAGUGCUCGUAUCUUCCAUCUACACUGUAGAAAUGUGCCCCAAAUCCGCCGAAGGUGGAGAAAAAUUUUGGGGUUUGGGUGCCGCGCAUCUAUGCAGGUGUAGACGUUUUUGGCCGGUUUGGGCGCAAAAAUGGGGGAAGCGUAGACGUUUUGGGGGGCUUGGGGGCUUAAGUGUAGAUGCCGCGGCCAGGGUCAUCUACGCAGGUGUAGAUGCCAGGUGCCUCAGGGCAUCUACAAGAUACGAGCACUGGUGCCUUGCAUGCAUGGGCUGCAACAAGUGAGCCUGAAGCUGUAACGCCAGCGGUAAGGCACUCCCAUGCAUCAUGGCUCAUUAACGAGGCUCUGCAGAUAGUUAGGAUACGGGUGCCGUUCGUAGCAUGCCAGUUCAGGGACCGGUAGGCAAGAGGUUAUGCCCGUCGGGUAGUCCCGGGUGUUGGGUUGUGAGUGCCUGGGCGGCUGUUGCCCGUGCGCGGUGCGCCCGGGCAGCUGGUGGGCCUGUUCGCCUCCGGGCGCGCGCGUGGCCUGUUUGGUGGGUCGGUCUAGUUUGCUGGUGGGGCGGGUGGAGGGCGGUGUGCCCAUGGCGAGGUGUGCUGGUGGUGUGGUCAAGUUCCGGCUUGGUUUCCCUUUGUGGUGCCUCGGCACAGACGUUUCCAGACGUGGGCCUUCGGGCCAAGACAUUGCGCGUCUCUGAAAAUGAGUGGUGCUCGCGUUUGAUGGGGAUGUCGGCAGACCUCUGGCCUGUCGCGCCUUGUUGUGCGUGGGUGCUGCCGCCAAAAGACCUAAACAAGAUGAGGGGUGUUACCAGGGGGGGGGGGGGGGUAAGGAUGCCGCAGACAUACCCCACCCUUCAAAUUGAUAGAGCUUGACGAGAGCGUUCAGAAUCCGCUUUCAGAAUUUUGAUCAGGGUAGUAAUUGCGGAGAUAUGGGCCCCCAAAGUUUCGUCACAGUGUGCCGGAAACUUUCGUCUGGGCCUCAUAAGACAGCAGGGCAAGCCCAGACCGUUGCCCAAAGCAUGUAAUGGAUGCUUUUAACGGCUGGGAAACGUCAGGAGCCUACCAGAAGGCGAAGGGCUACUGCCCGUCAACACAUGUCGGGUUGGGAUGUUGGGGUGCGACACGUCUCGCCUGACCAGAACGUGCCACAAGUCGCGGACCGGUGCUUGCGCGCCGGAGGAAAACGCAUGUGUAUGUCCCAUGCGUAGGUAAGACUCGUAAGCGUGCUUUACACGGGUGCAACUGAACGGCCGCAAGAUGUUCACAACAUGUCGACAACAUGGCUGUGGUCAAGACGCGCCCGACGAACUUUCCGUGUUUACAUGUUAAUAGAGCUCGCUGAAAGCAGUCAUUUGACACCAUCCUGGAAGAAAACAGAGGGGAUUUAGGGGGUGUACGGCACGGUAAGGCACGGUCGGUCGUCGGUCAGGGGGGGUCAGGAGGUUUUGCGGGGUGGGGUCUGGAACUAUUGUUCAUAAACCCCCCCUGGUGAUACAUGGCGGUGGGGCUUUGGCGGGCUUCGGCUUGGCUUCGACUCAUGUGCGUAACACUAUGAAGGUCGGCAGCCAACCAGGGGCCGGGUGUUGUUUCUCUGGGUCGAAGAUGGCCCCUCGCGGCAUGGGUACGGCGUGCCCCCGCUUAUCGGGCUGUCCCUUCAUUUGUAAUCCGCAUCCAUGAAAACGGCUAAGACGCAUUUUUUUUUCUCAGAGAAUGGUUACAAAGGAGAAGGAAGGGGAAGGCGCAGCACCACAACGGCACACAUCCUGCAAAGCGAGCAAGCAGAACACCAGGGACAACCGCACAAGCCACUGAAACCCAAGAGCACCCCUCCGGGGCAAAGCAAGGGCAGACCAGAAAGGCGAAGCAACCGCCAAACUCACAGAGAAGGAAAAAGGAAAGAAAGCGCACCAGCCCAAACCACC